Molecule: long non-coding RNA, 297 nt
Filed under: Linum usitatissimum (flax)
Lineage: Eukaryota; Viridiplantae; Streptophyta; Magnoliopsida; Malpighiales; Linaceae
Description: long non-coding RNA (LUSI_LNC000909)
Source: RNAcentral
UCGAACCUUCUCUUUUUCUUUGUUCGAACCUUGCUAGUUGUCUUUUUUUAUGAACUUGAAGAUUUAGAUGAUCAGGAUAAUGUCAUGAUCGAAAAACAAACAAUCCAGUGUGAAAGUAGCAGCAUGAUCAUGUCGGUAGAGCAUGAUGCUGAGUUAAUGCAAGUCGACGUCUGGUUCUACUUCUUAUAUUGCUGCAACUUUUUUUCCUUUCAAGCACGAUAAUUACCAUGGCAUGCUUAGGUUCCUCAAGGCAAAGGUUUAACCAUGAAAUAUAACGCAAUUGCAAAUGGUCCAAUA